GGGUUAAACCCUUUCUCUGGGAGAAAGUUGUGAAAGCAACCUGACGGUACCAGAGGAAUCAGCAUCGGCUAACUCCGUGCCAGCAGCCGCGGUAAGACGGAGGAUGCAAGCGUUAUCCGGAAUGAUUGGGCGUAAAGCGUCCGCAGGUGGCAGUUCAAGUCUGCUGUCAAAGACCGGGGCGUUAACUUCGGAAAGGCAGUGGAAACUGAACAGCUAGAGUAUGGUAGGGGCAGAGGGAAUUCCUGGUGUAGCGGUGAAAUGCGUAGAGAUCAGGAAGAACAUCGGUGGCGAAGGCGCUCUGCUGGACCAUAACUGACACUCAGGGACGAAAGCUAGGGGAGCGAAUGGGAUUAGAUACCCCAGUAGUCCUAGCCGUAAACGAUGGAUACUAGGUGUUGUCUGUAUCGACCCGGACAGUGCCGUAGCUAACGCGUUAAGUAUCCCGCCUGGGGAGUACGCACGCAAGUGUGAAACUCAAAGGAAUUGACGGGGGCCCGCACAAGCGGUGGAGUAUGUGGUUUAAUCGAUGCAACGCGAAGAACCUUACC
This 548-nucleotide ribosomal RNA is filed under the name uncultured bacterium. RNAcentral describes it as "bacterial SSU rRNA". It matches the Rfam family "Bacterial small subunit ribosomal RNA", at positions 423 to 975 of the family's 1533-position model. The record is from RNAcentral.